This 372-nucleotide ribosomal RNA is filed under the name uncultured bacterium. RNAcentral describes it as "bacterial SSU rRNA". It matches the Rfam family "Bacterial small subunit ribosomal RNA", at positions 102 to 507 of the family's 1533-position model. The record is from RNAcentral.
ACGGCAGAGUAACGCGUAGGAACAUACCCCAAACUGAGGGAUAACUGCUCGAAAGAGUAGCUAAUACCGCAUGUGGUCUUCGGAUUAAAAGCUUCGGCGGUUUGGGGAAUGGCCUGCGUCCGAUUAGCUUGUUGGUGAGGUAAAAGCUCACCAAGGGCGACGAUCGGUAGCUGGUCUGAGAGGAUGAUCAGCCUGACUGGAACUGAGAACGGUCCAGACUCCUACGGGAGGCAGCAGUAGGGAAUUUUCCACAAUGGGCGAAAGCCUGAUGGAGCAACGCCGCGUGCAGGAUGAAUGCCUUCGGGUUGUAAACUGCUUUUAUUAGUGAAGAAUAUGACGGUAACUAAUGAAUAAGGGUCGGCUAACUACGUG